Molecule: unclassified non-coding RNA, 911 nt
Filed under: Hevea brasiliensis (rubber tree)
Lineage: Eukaryota; Viridiplantae; Streptophyta; Magnoliopsida; Malpighiales; Euphorbiaceae
Source: RNAcentral
AGUUUUAGAUAAUAAUUAAUAAAAGAUUUUGUUUAGCAAUUUAGCUAAUUAAGCUUAAUGAGUCGAGCUCGAGCUCACAAAUUUAAUAAACAAGCUAACACAUGCAGAACUGAUGAAUUUGACAUACGAGUUAAAUGCAAAGCUUUAAAUCUAAGCUUGAGCUCAGUAAAAAUCUAACGAGCCGAGCCUAAACCCUUCAAAGCUUAGCUUGAUAACACUCAUAAGUGGAAGUGAGGCACUCUAAUUUGGAUGCUUUAAGGUAUUGUAAGGGAACUUGGUUGGGUUUUCUGGCUUAAUCCUUGUUGGUGUCUUGUCGGCCUUUGCAAGUCAACUAAGUUGAAUAUCUUCUCAUUGGUCCUUCUUUAGAGACAUUUCAAGCUUAGUCCACGACUAAAGGCAAUGUAUCAGUUCCAUAGGCAUGUUUCGGACAGUGUAGCUUCAUUAUUUAGCAAGGAUGGUUUCUAUGUUGUCUCUUAGAUAAAGGAACUUCGAUUUGGUGCAAGAUUAUGAAGAGUUGGAAAUGGGCGUGAUCUCGUCAGAAAAUUAGUGUUUUAUUCUAAUAAUUUGAUUAAAAACCUUGGGAUAUGCUUGAUUUCUACAAUUUAGUGUAUUGGUUUGAUGAUAUAUUGUUUACCAAGUCUGUUUUAAUCAUAUAAUGCAUGUGGAUAAGUUAGUAUAAUGAUAUCUGCUAGUAAAAAAUAGUUGUAAUAUCUAUCUUGGGAUGUUGAUUACUAGAUUCUUUCCCCGUCAAACUAGAUCUGAUAAUCCUGAUUUCUAUUGAAGAUCAUCAUACCUAGACCUAAUAAAGAGAUGGCCUUCCCACCUAAUUAAACUGAACUGGUACAUGUGAGGAAACAUUCUGUUAUGGCAGUAUAAUAUUAUUAAGCAAUGACUUGAAUCAGAUAGUUAUU